Molecule: ribosomal RNA, 497 nt
Filed under: uncultured bacterium
Lineage: Bacteria
Description: partial 16S ribosomal RNA
Rfam family: Bacterial small subunit ribosomal RNA
Source: RNAcentral
GACGAACGCUGGCGGCGUGCCUAAUACGUGCAAGUUGAGCGCUGAAGGUUGGUACUUGUUCUACCUGGAUGAGCUGCGAACGGGUGAGUAACGCGUGGGGAACCUGCCUUUGAGCGGGGGACAACAUUUGGAAACGAAUGCUAAUACCGCAUAAAAACUUUAAACACAAGUUUUAUGUUUGAAAGAUGCAAUUGCAUCACUAAAAGAUGAUCCCGCGUUGUAUUAGCUAGUUGGUGAGGUAAAGGCUCACCAAGGCGACGAUACAUAGCCGACCUGAGAGGGUGAUCGGCCACAUUGGGACUGAGACACGGCCCAGACUCCUACGGGAGGCAGCAGUAGGGAAUCUUCGGCAAUGGACGAAAGUCUGACCGAGCAACGCCGCGUGAGUGAAGAAGGUUUUCGGAUCGUAAAACUCUGUUGGUAGAGAAGAACGUUGGUGAGAGUGGAAAGCUCAUCAAGUGACGGUAACUACCCAGAAAGGGACGGCUAACUACGUG